CUUAGACAUCAUAUAAGUGAUUUUUUUGAGCACUAGAAAAAUACAAUAAGAAUAAUUUAAGCGACAAUAAUAAAAAUUAAAUAAAGAAUUAACUAUGUAUGCCAAUUACAGUACAUCUUGAGAAAUACAGCAUUUACACUAGAUGGUAAUAUAGUCAAUUAUCAUACAGAUGUGUCAUAAAGUCAAUAAUCACACUCUGUUCACACUCUGUUCAUAAAGAAGGCAUUCACAUUGAUAGCUGUGAUUACACAGUAAUAACAUGCUGAUGUGCGCUCAAACAGAUGGUAAUCAUGCCGAUACAUCCACAUUCCCCACAAAACACAAACACAUAUAUAAGAAAAAUGUUGAAAAAUAAAUAAAGGACGUUUAUUUAUUUGUGCCAAACCACAAUCGCUAAGUUACGCCUCCAUCAGAUGACAGGUGCAUCACAGCGAGCGUCAGGAGAGAGCGCCAGAAUUUAAAUAAACAAUCGUCCACCUAUCUUUGACUUUUUUUUUAGUGGAUCGUCUCAUUCUGUUUGUGACACUGUAUGCUACAAAACCAUGCUAUUUUUUUACUACCAAGACGCAGUUUCUGAGCGGAAGUUAUUCCAUAAUGGACACAAACAAUUCUGUCCCUGAAGAUCUGAAAUGUAAACAAAGGAAUCACUAUCCAUAUUACAACGUUAUUGCUUCGUUGGACUAAACAUGCUCUUUGGGAUGUCGUUAAGUGGACCCUUACCUUUCUAACUAAACCGGGAUUUACAGCUGUAGAUGCGUUUAUGACUCGUUAUUAUGAUGAAUCUGGUACGUACUGCUUUUUGCUUCUUCAUGCUUUGAUGUGUACUGCUUAUACAAAUUUAGCAAAUACAUUCUUUAUAAGCUUUCCAUUGAAAAACAGCAAUCUUUUGUCGUUGCUUGAGGCUUAGAUCUUUAUAAUGAAAUAUAGUUUGUCGAGAUUAAUUUUGUCCCGUUUCAUUUAAUCUAUUCAUAAACACUGACACAUGCAGAUAGGGCUAAUUGAGUACGCCCGAGUCCAGGUGUGGGUUAACAGGUUCAUAUUGCCUAAAACAUCCAAAGCAGUUUGCCCAAUAACAUGCAGGUAUUGUACAUAAUCAAUCAAUCAUGGGGCUGCACGUGAUAAGGUGAGAUCUUCCCACAGACUGACCACCGAGAGGGACGUGGUAAGCAGUCAUAGAUGCCAUGUACACCUUCAGGGUGGAGUGGGUCAACCAUGCAGAGAAUCUACCCUGCAAGAACUCUAGCCCUGAACCGACCGGGCAGUUAACUGGGUCAAGCUGGUGAUCUCUACACCAGGAAGUGAAGAGUU
Cyprinus carpio carpio is the source of this 1308-nucleotide long non-coding RNA. NCBI's taxonomy places the organism in Eukaryota, Metazoa, Chordata, Actinopteri, Cypriniformes, Cyprinidae. The record is from Ensembl.